RNAcentral lists this unclassified non-coding RNA (145 nucleotides) under soil metagenome. RNAcentral describes it as "partial internal transcribed spacer 1". The record is from RNAcentral.
CCUAGAGUUGUAGGCUUUGCCUGCUAUCUCUUUACCCAUGUCUUUUGAGUACCUUACGUUUCCUCCUCGGUGGGUUCGCCCACCGAUUGGACAAACUUAAACCCUUUGCAGUUGAAAUCAGGCGUCUGAAAAAACUUAAUAGUUA